UGCAAGUCGAACGGUAACGACGGGAGCUUGCUCCCGGGCGACGAGUGGCGGACGGGUGAGUAAUACUUAGGAAUCUGCCCAGUAGUGGGGGACAACUCGAGGAAACUCGAGCUAAUACCGCAUACGCCCUACGGGGGAAAGCGGAGGAUCUUUCGGGACUUCGCGCUAUUGGAUGAGCCUAAGUCGGAUUAGCUUGUUGGUGGGGUAAAGGCCUACCAAGGCAACGAUCUGUAGCUGGUCUGAGAGGACGAUCAGCCACACUGGGACUGAGACACGGCCCAGACUCCUACGGGAGGCAGCAGUGGGGAAUAUUGGACAAUGGGGGCAACCCUGAUCCAGCAAUGCCGCGUGUGUGAAGAAGGCCUGCGGGUUGUAAAGCACUUUCAGUAGAGAAGAAAUGCCCAUGGUUAAUACCCGUGGGUCUUGACGUAACCUACAGAAGAAGCACCGGCUAACUCCGUGCCAGCAGCCGCGGUAAUACGGAGGGUGCGAGCGUUAAUCGGAAUUACUGGGCGUAAAGCGCGCGUAGGCGGUUUGGUCAGUCGGAUGUGAAAGCCCUAGGCUCAACCUGGGAAUGGCAUUCGAUACUGCCUGACUAGAGUAUGGUAGAGGGAAGUGGAAUUUCCGGUGUAGCGGUGAAAUGCGUAGAUAUCGGAAGGAACACCAGUGGCGAAGGCGACUUCCUGGGCCAAUACUGACGCUGA
This 704-nucleotide ribosomal RNA is filed under the name uncultured bacterium. RNAcentral's name for it is "bacterial SSU rRNA". It matches the Rfam family "Bacterial small subunit ribosomal RNA", at positions 56 to 749 of the family's 1533-position model. The record is from RNAcentral.